UGGACCUAAGGAUAAUACUAAGGAAGCAACGUAUAAAGUACUGAAGAAACUUAUUUCGAAUAUAUUGGCAUCCGAAUUUACUUUGAAAGGUGGUACCAAAAAAUGUUUUGACAAGCUGGCGUUGUAUGAAGUUGUUCAAGAUUGUUUUAAUUUUUUCAAAAUGUGAAUAUUAAUUAAAGAAAGAAGUGGAAAAUUUGACUUGAGAUGGCUACCAGAAAGAUAAUUUGAAAGAUAACUUGUCAUCCGCAUAUAUUCCAGGAGGGGAAUCAAAAUUGAUUAAAUAAGUUUAAAAG
Molecule: long non-coding RNA, 293 nt
Organism: Solenopsis invicta (red fire ant)
Lineage: Eukaryota; Metazoa; Arthropoda; Insecta; Hymenoptera; Formicidae
Exons: 2
Source: RefSeq, a predicted model, not a curated record